UACAGAGGUCUCAAGCGUUGUUCGGAUUCAUUGGGCGUAAAGGGCGCGUAGGCUGCGGGGUAAGUCGGGUGUGAAAUCUCAGAGCUCAACUCUGAAACUGCACUCGAUACUGCUUUGCUUGAGGACUGGAGAGGAGAUUGGAAUUCACGGUGUAGCAGUGAAAUGCGUAGAUAUCGUGAGGAAGACCAGUGGCGAAGGCGGAUCUCUGGACAGUACCUGACGCUGAGGCGCGAAGGCCAGGGGAGCAAACGGG
RNAcentral lists this ribosomal RNA (253 nucleotides) under uncultured bacterium. Its description in RNAcentral is "partial 16S ribosomal RNA". It matches the Rfam family "Bacterial small subunit ribosomal RNA", at positions 524 to 776 of the family's 1533-position model. The record is from RNAcentral.